Molecule: long non-coding RNA, 822 nt
Organism: Vicia villosa (hairy vetch)
Lineage: Eukaryota; Viridiplantae; Streptophyta; Magnoliopsida; Fabales; Fabaceae
Exons: 3
Source: RefSeq, a predicted model, not a curated record
AGGAUUGCAAUAGAGAAUUGGGGAUUAGGGAUUACUGAGUGUGGCGAUUGGAAUUCUCAACGUAUCUUCUUCCUCGCUCUCAUUCGCGAACGGCGGCGGAAUGAUCUCCACUUCUCCGAUGAACUCAGAAACCGCUCUCCGCCUCUUCGAUUCAAUUCUCAGGCUCUCGUCUCAAUCUCGUCUCCGAUGUGUGUUGAAGGUGGUACAAAGGCGAUUCAAGCGAUGAUUCGAUGAUGAUGAUGCUGUUGGAGACGAAUCGAGCGAAAUUGUUACAGGUACCUUAAGUCGGGAUGGCACACGGUUUAGAAACAAGAAUCACUUGGUCAAAGCAAUAGGUUUUGCAGUAUGGAGCUGUUUGGUUUUUCAUGACUGUCACAUAACUUGUCUUUUUAUUCUUUAUUUCUUUUAGUAUGGAUCUGAAUUGGUUAUAUUUGUGUUAUGAGUGUGUGCAGGAUUUGAUGCUGAACUGUUGUGAUUCUGUUUGGGAAAGUGGUUAUGCAGGUUGCUUUUAACAAGUGAAGAAAUGGCUGCAAGUUGGUGGAUUGAGAUUUGGCUUCGGUUGCGUUUCGUGUAGCAUUAUGAAGGUUUGUGUGGAAUGGGGUACGGCUUGGAGCUUUGAGGAAAAGGUUUACAAGAUGGAACAAGAGAUAGAAUCAAGACUUUAGAACAAUUUUGUAUUUGAAAGGUGUAAUGUGUAAUUGAAAUUGGAUGAAUGUAUAGACAUUUGGAUCUUCUGAACUUUUGUAAUGGAUGAGAACCUUGGGACAAUUUUUGUAAUCUUGUAAAUUUUCCUUUAUGAAUGACUUUGAAUCCUUGAAUUUA